UUCCCCGCAGGGCAGAGGCGCCCGGCUUUAGAGCCCCAGCCUUCAUUUCCCUGAUGCCGUGUUUGUUCCCUGAGCCUUUCCCCGCAUCCGGAGCAGCUCCCGAGUGCCGUGCAUAGCGCCAAUGAUUGGGAACGUGGCCAUGCCCUGGCUCCCUGCCCACACGGAGAACCAGACAAGAACUACAGUGCGUGUCGUUGAGGGAAGUCUCCAUGGUGCUUGCACCCAACACGUGAGGCAUCAGUGUGGCCUGGACUCUGUCCUGAGAGGCAGAGGCCCCCCAGCUGGGCCCGUACCUCCCUUCUACUUGGGGAAUUGUUUGGCCUUCCCUGUCUGCUCCUCCCACCUGUACCCAGGUGUGCCUCUACCUGGUAGCUGAGAUCUUGGACCUCCAAGGUGUUGGACUUGCCGCUGUAGGUGAAGUACAGGCUGUUGUCAGUUUCAGAGGAGAACACACUGUCCUGGAGGCCCUGCGGGGAGACGUGACAGAGAGAGUUUUGAGGCUUCCCUCCAGCACAGCUCCUGGCCCCAGGGAAGCUGAAUUACAGGCUGUUGGAACCUGAA
Camelus dromedarius (Arabian camel) is the source of this 561-nucleotide long non-coding RNA. RefSeq lists it as uncharacterized. The transcript has 3 exons. NCBI's taxonomy places the organism in Eukaryota, Metazoa, Chordata, Mammalia, Artiodactyla, Camelidae. The record is from RefSeq and is a predicted model, not a curated record.